CGCUGGCGGCGUGCUUAACACAUGCAAGUCGAACGGAAAGGCCCUGCUUUUGUGGGGUGCUCGAGUGGCGAACGGGUGAGUAACACGUGAGUAACCUGCCCUUGACUUUGGGAUAACUUCAGGAAACUGGGGCUAAUACCGGAUAGGAGCUCCUGCUGCAUGGUGGGGGUUGGAAAGUUUCGGCGGUUGGGGAUGGACUCGCGGCUUAUCAGCUUGUUGGUGGGGUAGUGGCUUACCAAGGCUUUGACGGGUAGCCGGCCUGAGAGGGUGACCGGCCACAUUGGGACUGAGAUACGGCCCAGACUCCUACGGGAGGCAGCAGUGGGGAAUAUUGCACAAUGGGCGGAAGCCUGAUGCAGCAACGCCGCGUGCGGGAUGACGGCCUUCGGGUUGUAAACCGCUUUCGCCUGUGACGAAGCGUGAGUGACGGUAAUGGGUAAAGAAGCACCGGCUAACUACGUGCCAGCAGCCGCGGUGAUACGUAGGGUGCGAGCGUUGUCCGGAUUUAUUGGGCGUAAAGGGCUCGUAGGUGGUUGAUCGCGUCGGAAGUGUAAUCUUGGGGCUUAACCCUGAGCGUGCUUUCGAUACGGGUUGACUUGAGGAAGGUAGGGGAGAAUGGAAUUCCUGAUGGAGCGGUGGAAUGCGCAGAUAUCAGGAGGAACACCAGUGGCGAAGGCGGUUCUCUGGGCCUUUCCUGACGCUGAGGAGCGAAAGCGUGGGGAGCGAACAGGCUUAGAUACCCUGGUAGUCCACGCUGUAAACGGUGGGUACUAGGUGUGGGGUCCAUUCCACGGGUUCCGUGCCGUAGCUAACGCUUUAAGUACCCCGCCUGGGGAGUACGGCCGCAAGGCUAAAACUCAAAGGAAUUGACGGGGCCCCGCACAAGCGGCGGAGCAUGCGGAUUAAUUCGAUGCAACGCGUAGAACCUUACCUGGGUUUGACAUGGAUCGGGAGUGCUCAGAGAUGGGUGUGCCUCUUUUGGGGUCGGUUCACAGGUGGUGCAUGGCUGUCGUCAGCUCGUGUCGUGAGAUGUUGGGUUAAGUCCCGCAACGAGCGCAACCCUUGUUCACUGUUGCCAGCACGUUAUGGUGGGGACUCAGUGGAGACCGCCGGGGUCAACUCGGAGGAAGGUGGGGAUGACGUCAAGUCAUCAUGCCCCUUAUGUCCAGGGCUUCACGCAUGCUACAAUGGCUGGUACAGAGAGUGGCGAGCCUGUGAGGGUGAGCGAAUCUCGGAAAGCCGGUCUCAGUUCGGAUUGGGGUCUGCAACUCGACCUCAUGAAGUCGGAGUCGCUAGUAAUCGCAGAUCAGCAACGCUGCGGUGAAUACGUUCCCGGGGCUUGUACACACCGCCCGUCAAGUCAUGAAAGUUGGUAACACCCGAAGCCGGUGGCCUAACCGUUGUGGGGGAGCCGUCGAAGGUGGGACUGGU
RNAcentral lists this ribosomal RNA (1431 nucleotides) under uncultured organism. Its description in RNAcentral is "16S ribosomal RNA". It matches the Rfam family "Bacterial small subunit ribosomal RNA". The record is from RNAcentral.